This 560-nucleotide ribosomal RNA is filed under the name uncultured Desulfovibrio sp. Its description in RNAcentral is "bacterial SSU rRNA". It matches the Rfam family "Bacterial small subunit ribosomal RNA", at positions 229 to 780 of the family's 1533-position model. The record is from RNAcentral. Lineage: Bacteria; Pseudomonadati; Thermodesulfobacteriota; Desulfovibrionia; Desulfovibrionales; Desulfovibrionaceae.
GCCUGCGUUCCAUUAGCUAGUUGGUGGGGUAACGGCCCUACCAAGGCAACGAUGGGUAGCCGAUCUGAGAGGAUGAUCGGCCACACUGGAACUGAAACACGGUCCAGACUCCUACGGGAGGCAGCAGUGGGGAAUAUUGCGCAAUGGGCGAAAGCCUGACGCAGCGACGCCGCGUGAGGGAUGAAGGUCUUCGGAUCGUAAACCUCUGUCAGAAGGGAAGAAACUAGGGUGCUCUAAUCAUCAUCCUACUGACGGUACCUUCAAAGGAAGCACCGGCUAACUCCGUGCCAGCAGCCGCGGUAAUACGGAGGGUGCAAGCGUUAAUCGGAAUCACUGGGCGUAAAGCGCACGUAGGCUGUUAUGUAAGUCAGGGGUGAAAUCCCACGGCUCAACCGUGGAACUGCCCUUGAUACUGCACGACUUGAAUCCGGGAGAGGGUGGCGGAAUUCCAGGUGUAGGAGUGAAAUCCGUAGAUAUCUGGAGGAACAUCAGUGGCGAAGGCGGCCACCUGGACCGGUAUUGACGCUGAGGUGCUAAAGCGUGGGGAGCAAACAGGAUUA